GGCUGCGCCGGGCGACCGCCCCCUCCCGCCUCCCUCGCACGGGCACGGCGCGCCGCGGGCGAGCGAGCGGCCUCGGCGGCGCUGCUGCCGCCGGUGCCCCGCACAGGGCUCAGCGGCGGCGCAGGAGGAUGGCGGCGGCGGUCGCGGCGGCGGCGGCGGGCACAGCAGCAGCAGCAGCGGCGGGGCCGAGAGGCCGCGCGGCGGGAGCCAGCACCGUCCCGAGCAGCUCAUGGUGGCGCCCCAGACCCGCCAGCAGCGGCCGCGCCGGGGCCGCCAGCUGAGCCGGAUCCCGGCGGGCGGCUCUCCCCUGUCCACACCGACCCACCGAGCGACCCGUCCCUCUCCCCCGGCGAACCCUCUCCCCCCUCCCCGGCUCGACCCGCACCUCGGAUCGGCCCCGCCGGCGCCGGACUGCCACCACCCCCGGGCGCCGCGGGGAAGGCGGCGGCGAAGGGCACCGGGCAGCGCCAGGCGGCGGCGGGACCAUGGGCGCGAAGCAGAGCAGCCCCACCGCCGCCAAUGGCCGCACCCGGGCGUACUCGGGCGGGGAUCUGCCUUCCUCCAGCAGCAGCAGCAGCGGCGGCGCUAACGGGACCGGCGGGCGCUCGGCGGGCGCCGGCGGGCGGUACGCGCACCUGGCAGCGGCGCCUCACGCCGCUCCGGGCGGCGCGGCGGCGGCCGGAGGAGCGGCGGCGGCGGGGGGUGCCGCGGGGUCGGCACCCCGGAGCAGGUCCCUGGGGGGGGCCACCGCCUCCGGCGCCCGGGCGGCGCAGUCCGCCCUAAACAUCCUCCACAGCGUCGGCCCCUACGGCUCGCAGGACUCGGUCAACAGCACCCCGGAGGAGGGCGGCCGGGAGCGGCCCGCGGGGAGCGGCGGCGGCGGCGGCGGCUCCUCCGGCAGCUCCUCCGGCGGGCCUCGGCUGGUGAUCGGCUCGCUGCCCGCCCACCUCUCGCCGCACCUGUUCGGAGGAUUCAAGUGCCCUGUAUGUUCAAAAUUUGUAUCUUCUGAUGAAAUGGAUUUACAUCUUGUGAUGUGUUUGACAAAACCAAGGAUAACCUACAAUGGUAAGAAAGAAAGGAUGUGCUGAGUAAAGAUGCUGGGGAGUGUGCAAUAUGCCUGGAAGAGCUGCAGCAAGGAGAUACUAUAGCACGGCUGCCUUGCCUCUGCAUAUAUCAUAAAGGCUGCAUAGAUGAAUGGUUUGAAGUAAAUCGAUCUUGCCCUGAGCAUCCAUCAGAUUAAGACAAGAUUCAUGUUUUUAGCUGCUUCCACUGAUCAGAAAACAUAGGAGAUGUGAGGUUCCCUUGCUGAACACAGCAUGCCUGGCUUGAGACUUACAGUUCUUUGUGGCUGAAAAAGGCAAAGAUGGACAAUGACAUGGAAAAAGCAUUGCAGACACCAGUUACUUGCCAGUAGUGCUCAGUAUACCAAACACUCAUGCAAAGGACACACAGGGAUUUUGAAAAUGCUGCACAUCCUGUAACAAUCGACUCCCCACAGACAUUACUGACACUAUUUUGUAUCGAACGCCAAAGUUCCUAAUUUCAGCCUAACUUCUGGUUCUGUGAAGAAGCGAGUUAUUGGACGUUUCCUACUGCCUCGAGUAGAAGCGGAGAUGUUCAAUACGUGCUAUCUGAGACCCUUGCAGGAGGAUGGCCCCGGAUUUGAGUGGGAACGUUUUCACCUUCUUGUUGGCUGAAGAAUAGUAAAUGGCAAACUAAAUAAAUUCUAAUAGUGUGACCUUAAUUUACUGAAUUCA
Molecule: RNA transcript, 1757 nt
Organism: Neopelma chrysocephalum (saffron-crested tyrant-manakin)
Lineage: Eukaryota; Metazoa; Chordata; Aves; Passeriformes; Pipridae
Gene: ZNRF2
Gene name: zinc and ring finger 2
Exons: 5
Source: RefSeq, a predicted model, not a curated record